Molecule: long non-coding RNA, 962 nt
Filed under: Homo sapiens (human)
Lineage: Eukaryota; Metazoa; Chordata; Mammalia; Primates; Hominidae
Description: HSALNT0353860
Source: RNAcentral
CUUUCUGUGGGCGGAGCAAUCUUCCCGAUGUCUCUUCCCUCUGAGGCCAGUAGCAGGAAGGGCCUCGGGAGUUGCGAGUGUCGCGAGGUUUGAGGUCGCUCGGUGGGCCGGGCGCUGUGCGAAGCUAGAAAUAACUGGGGGCAUGGAGAAUGCGGUGGCUGUAAAGGGCCGCUGAGGCGGUGGAGGCCUGGCAGAGAGCGUCCCCGCGGUCGCGGCUUCUGGCUUCUCUGUGGAGCUUGGUUCUUCCGUGGUGGUGCAGCACCCCAGGAACUUCAGGAACCAGUCCUUCCUUGGAGAGCUCCCCGGGACAGCCACGGGGGCCAAGUGAAACUAGCGCGUUUUCUUGGAUCCUACACUUUAUAGUGAGUCAUAAAUACUUUAAAUACAAAGCCAACAACAUUUGCUGCAAAUAAACGUAAAAAUACUGUUAAAGUGUAAAGUGUUUUCCUCCGUACCAUCUGACGUUUCUGGCGGUUCGUUGAACGCGAGAGAACGCUGAGCCGUCUGCACUGAGCCCGGGAGCAUCUUCAGGGCAGCGCCGCCCACGCGCGAGGUGAAUGAAGGACACGGCCUCUUGACACUCCCAGGCAGCACAGAUAGACGGAUCCUGGCUAGAAGUGACCCCAGGAUUUUUUUAUUAUCAAGAGAGACUAGAAGAAUCAUGAGACUUUUCCUAGUUGCCUUUCAAGAAUAUGAAGAAAAAAAUGGUUCUCAAAGUGGGUUUGAAUGAGUAUUGUUCCAAUAAAUGAACUUAUAUUCAUAUUUCAUCCCCUGAGUCCUGGUGUUUCAACAUCCAUUAGAACUGAAUAAUCAUACUGCAUAUCAAAGUUUGUGGGAAAUUGCUAAAGUGUAAAAAAUGCUCAUAUUGAAAAAGAAGAAAAGCUGAAAAUUAAUUGUGCUUCCAACUUUAAAAAAGGACAACAAGCUAAUCCUAAAGAAACUAGAAUAAAAGGAAAAAAUAA